This 475-nucleotide ribosomal RNA is filed under the name uncultured bacterium. RNAcentral's name for it is "bacterial SSU rRNA". It matches the Rfam family "Bacterial small subunit ribosomal RNA", at positions 328 to 793 of the family's 1533-position model. The record is from RNAcentral.
CGCUAUCACUCCUACGGGGAGGCAGCAGUAGGGAAUCUUCCAACAAUGGGCGCAAGCCUGAUGGAGCAACACCGCGUGAGUGAAGAAGGGUUUCGGCUCGUAAAGCUCUGUUGUUAAAGAAGAACACGUAUGAGAGUAACUGUUCAUACGUUGACGGUAUUUAACCAGAAAGUCACGGCUAACUACGUGCCAGCAGCCGCGGUAAUACGUAGGUGGCAAGCGUUAUCCGGAUUUAUUGGGCGUAAAGAGAGUGCAGGCGGUUUUCUAAGUCUGAUGUGAAAGCCUUCGGCUUAACCGGAGAAGUGCAUCGGAAACUGGAUAACUUGAGUGCAGAAGAGGGUAGUGGAACUCCAUGUGUAGCGGUGGAAUGCGUAGAUAUAUGGAAGAACACCAGUGGCGAAGGCGGCUACCUGGUCUGCAACUGACGCUGAGACUCGAAAGCAUGGGUAGCGAACAGGAUUAGAUACCCUGGUAG